This 374-nucleotide long non-coding RNA is filed under the name Homo sapiens (human). Its description in RNAcentral is "ventricular heart development associated lncRNA (VHRT)". Lineage: Eukaryota; Metazoa; Chordata; Mammalia; Primates; Hominidae. The record is from RNAcentral.
CCAUGUGAAGAAGGUGCUUGUUUCCCCUUUGCCUUCCGCCAUGAGUGUAAGUUUCCUGAGGUCUCCCAGUCAUACUGCUGGUUAAGCCUGCAGAACGGUGUACUUGUUUGAAAUGUAUCUGGCCCAAUCGCUGAGCGUCCGCGCUGCAUUUCUCCAAACUGCCCAGCAGGGGGCGGUGCUACCUCGGCUCCGCGCAGCCACGGCUUCCCGCUGGCGAACCAAGGGCGCGGAAUCUGGAGAGGGCGAGGAACAUCUUUCCUCCCACCUGUCCCCCGCCAAGCCUGCCAGACCCGUCUCAUCCGUGCUGCUGCUUCUGAAAAUCAGAAGAGUGAGGAUGAAAUAAAGUCUUCAUAAAGGAAAAAAAAAAAAAAAAA